UUUAGAGUUUAGGGUUUAGGGUUUAGAGUUUAGGGUUUAGAGUUUAGAGUUUAGGGUUUAGGGUUUAGAGUUUAGGGUUUAGGGUUCAGAAUUUAGGGUUUAGGGUUUAGGGUUUAGAAUUUAGGGUUUAGGGUUUAUAAAUGAAGUUUUGGGGAUAAGAUUUCAAAUUUUGAAAAAUAAAAAAAUUAAAAUUUUCAGAAGAUAAAAUGCUAUUUUGGUCAUUUUAGUUUUUGAGUGCUAUUUUUGUGAUAUAAACUUAU
Molecule: long non-coding RNA, 260 nt
Filed under: Brassica napus (rape)
Lineage: Eukaryota; Viridiplantae; Streptophyta; Magnoliopsida; Brassicales; Brassicaceae
Description: long non-coding RNA (BNAP_LNC014538)
Source: RNAcentral